UUCAGGAAGGCGGCAAAGGCAGAAUCCAGGAUGGGCUGUCUAACUUGCAGCCUUCUCUUUGUUGUUUCUGGAAUUCUCCACAGACUGAAAUACCCCUGAGCUCAUGGAAAUGGCCUCAUGUAAUGCCUGAAGCUGGGGGAGAUGGCUCAUUGCAGCUUGAAGAGACCUCUCUGUCUUUUAGAUUCCUCCAAAAGUCUCAACCCCCCACCUGCCUCACUGUGACUCAAAGGUCCUGUGCUGGCAGUGUGGGUGUGUCUUCUCUCUCUGAGGUCCAAAUGGAACUUGUCCUUGGGAACCCCUAUUGUUAAAGCACAUGCUUGGAUUCUUUGUAUUUUGUGGAGGUUGUUUAACCCUUUCCUCAAAGUGUUAGUGGACAGAGAUUUGAAGAGCGAGAAUUUCCUGAAGACAUCUUGGAGAAUUCCUUAAAUAUUGUAAUAUCGGGGUGAGAAUCACUUAUUGAAGCUGUGAAUAGGAGAAGACCAGCCAUUUCCUGAUUUAAAUAUGGCAAAGACUACUCAGUUUUCUCUCCAUAUCUGGUUUCUCUGUGUCAUAGACUCUUAUCUUCUGUAUCAGGCCUGGAAAAGCAGAUGUGGCCAAGAUAUCAACACUAAGAAGUUCUUUGGCUGCUGACAUUAGCCGGUGGAAAUCUUUAAUUAUAUAUUCAAACAACUCUUGGUUUUUUUUCUGAAGGCCAUCGAUACCUUGGGGUUCGCAAUGUUUGUUUUCUAAAGUGAGGG
This is a long non-coding RNA of Neofelis nebulosa (Clouded leopard), 737 nucleotides long. RefSeq lists it as uncharacterized. The record is from RefSeq and is a predicted model, not a curated record. The transcript has 3 exons. NCBI's taxonomy places the organism in Eukaryota, Metazoa, Chordata, Mammalia, Carnivora, Felidae.